UACGUAGAUGGCAAGCGUUGUCCGGAAUUACUGGGUGUAAAGGGAGCGUAGGCGGGUGUGCAAGUUGGAUGUGAAAUACACAGGCUUAACCUGUGAACUGCAUUCAAAACUGUGCAUCUUGAGUGAAGUAGAGGUAGGCGGAAUUCCUAGUGUAGCGGUGAAAUGCGUAGAUAUUAGGAGGAACACCAGUGGCGAAGGCGGCCUACUGGGCUUUUACUGACGCUGAGGCUCGAAAGCAUGGGUAGCAA
Molecule: ribosomal RNA, 248 nt
Filed under: uncultured Eubacterium sp.
Lineage: Bacteria; Bacillati; Bacillota; Clostridia; Eubacteriales; Eubacteriaceae
Description: partial 16S ribosomal RNA
Rfam family: Bacterial small subunit ribosomal RNA
Source: RNAcentral